GAACGGUAACAGGUCUUCGGAUGCUGACGAGUGGCGAACGGGUGAGUAAUACAUCGGAACGUGCCCGAGAGUGGGGGAUAACGAAGCGAAAGCUUUGCUAAUACCGCAUACGAUCUCAGGAUGAAAGCAGGGGACCGCAAGGCCUUGCGCUCACGGAGCGGCCGAUGGCAGAUUAGGUAGUUGGUGGGAUAAAAGCUUACCAAGCCGACGAUCUGUAGCUGGUCUGAGAGGACGACCAGCCACACUGGGACUGAGACACGGCCCAGACUCCUACGGGAGGCAGCAGUGGGGAAUUUUGGACAAUGGGCGCAAGCCUGAUCCAGCCAUGCCGCGUGCAGGAUGAAGGCCUUCGGGUUGUAAACUGCUUUUGUACGGAACGAAAAGACUCUGGUUAAUACCUGGGGUCCAUGACGGUACCGUAAGAAUAAGCACCGGCUAACUACGUGCCAGCAGCCGCGGUAAUACGUAGGGUGCGAGCGUUAAUCGGAAUUACUGGGCGUAAAGCGUGCGCAGGCGGUUAUGUAAGACAGAUGUGAAAUCCCCGGGCUCAACCUGGGAACUGCAUUUGUGACUGCGUAGCUAGAGUACGGCAGAGGGGGAUGGGAUUCCGCGUGUAGCAGUGAAAUGCGUAGAUAUGCGGAGGAACACCGAUGGCGAAGGC
Molecule: ribosomal RNA, 661 nt
Filed under: uncultured beta proteobacterium
Lineage: Bacteria; Pseudomonadati; Pseudomonadota; Betaproteobacteria
Description: bacterial SSU rRNA
Rfam family: Bacterial small subunit ribosomal RNA
Source: RNAcentral